CCUACGGGAGGCAGCAGUGGGGAAUAUUGCACAAUGGUGGAAACCCUGAUGCAGCGACGCCGCGUGAGUGAAGAAGUAUUUCGGUAUGUAAAGCUCUAUCAGCAGGGAAGAAAAUGACGGUACCUGAUUAAGAAGCCCCGGCUAACUACGUGCCAGCAGGCGCGGUAAUACGUCGGGGGCAAGAGUUAUCCGGAUUUACUGGGUGUAAAGGGUGCGUAUACGGUGAUGCAAGUCAGAAGUGAAAGCCCGGGGAUCAACUCCGGGACUGCCUUUGAAACUGUGUGACUGGAGUGGAGGAGAGGUAAGCGGAAUGCCGGGUGUAGCGGUGAAAUGCGUAGAUAUCAGGAGGAACACCAGUGGCGAAGGCGGCUUACUGGACUGUAACUGACGUUGAGGCUCGAAAGCGUGGGGAGCAAACAGGAUUAGAUACCCCGGUAGUC
RNAcentral lists this ribosomal RNA (440 nucleotides) under uncultured bacterium. RNAcentral describes it as "partial 16S ribosomal RNA". It matches the Rfam family "Bacterial small subunit ribosomal RNA", at positions 338 to 795 of the family's 1533-position model. The record is from RNAcentral.